This 358-nucleotide RNase P RNA is filed under the name uncultured Mediterraneibacter sp. Its description in RNAcentral is "Bacterial RNase P class A". It matches the Rfam family "Bacterial RNase P class A". From Rfam's summary of the family: Ribonuclease P (RNase P) is a ubiquitous endoribonuclease, found in archaea, bacteria and eukarya as well as chloroplasts and mitochondria. Its best characterised activity is the generation of mature 5'-ends of tRNAs by cleaving the 5'-leader elements of precursor-tRNAs. Cellular RNase Ps are ribonucleoproteins. The record is from RNAcentral. Lineage: Bacteria; Bacillati; Bacillota; Clostridia; Lachnospirales; Lachnospiraceae.
AAGACAGACGAUCGCGGCUGCAUGUGCCGGAAGGCCGCAGACGAGGAAAGUCCGGGCUUCACAGGGCAGGAUGCCGGAUAACGUCCGGUGGAGGCGACUCCAAGGCCAGUGCAACAGAAAUAAACCGCCGGGGCAGAAGCUUUUUUGGCUUUUGCCUCGGUAAGGGUGGAAAGGCAGUGUAAGAGACUACCGCCUCGCUGGUAACAGAGAGGGCACAUGUAAACCCCAUCCGAAGCAAGACCGGAUAGAAGCAGUGUGGCGGCCCGCCACGCUUCAGGUUGGUCGCUUGAGCGCAUCGGUGACGGUGCGCCUAGACAGAUGAUCGUCCACGACAUAACCCGGCUUACCGUCUUGCUUG